GACGAACGCUGGCGGCGUGCUUAACACAUGCAAGUCGAACGGAAAGGCCCUGCUUUUGUGGGGUGCUCGAGUGGCGAACGGGUGAGUAACACGUGAGUAACCUGCCCUUGACUUUGGGAUAACUUCAGGAAACUGGGGCUAAUACCGGAUAGGAGCUCCUGCUGCAUGGCGGGGGUUGGAAAGUUUGGGCGGUUGGGGAUGGACUCGCGGCUUAUCAGCUUGUUGGUGGGGUAGUGGCUUACCAAGGCUUUGACGGGUCGCCGGCCGGAGAGGGUGACCGGCCACAUUGGGACUGAGAUACGGCCCAGACUCCUACGGGAGGCAGCAGUGGGGAAUAUUGCACAAUGGGCGGAAGCCUGAUGCAGCAACGCCGCGUGCGGGAUGACGGCCUUCGGGUUGUAAACCGCUUUCGCCUGUGACGAAGCGUGAGUGACGGUAAUGGGUAAAGAAGCACCGGCUAACUACGUGCCAGCCGCCGCCGUAA
This 484-nucleotide ribosomal RNA is filed under the name uncultured bacterium. Its description in RNAcentral is "partial 16S ribosomal RNA". It matches the Rfam family "Bacterial small subunit ribosomal RNA", at positions 28 to 523 of the family's 1533-position model. The record is from RNAcentral.